This is a long non-coding RNA of Saccostrea cuccullata (small rock oyster), 659 nucleotides long. RefSeq lists it as uncharacterized. Lineage: Eukaryota; Metazoa; Mollusca; Bivalvia; Ostreida; Ostreidae. The transcript has 3 exons. The record is from RefSeq and is a predicted model, not a curated record.
AUUGCACGUUCGGGUUCGCCAUUUUGAUUUUGCUAAUUAUAUAUGCAUGUCAAAGGUCAAUCGGGGAUUGUAAACAGCAAUGGAUACCUGCGUAACUCAUGAAGUUGUAAACAGCAGUUUAUUUUGAUUCAUAUUUCAUGACUUCGAUAUUUUAUACAUAUUAGUAUAAACAUAAUGUAUCCCGGAGAUCAAAGUUAUGCAUUAGAUUGUUGUUCUCUCUGGAAAAUUAAGGCUUAACAAACGUUGGUGACGUAACUGAAAAACAGCUGACAGCGUUUGGGUCUGUUUUGAGAAAACAAGUGGAACUGUUAUUAUGUGUUAUACUGCUCCUGUUACUCAGGCCUUGGACAAUCUUGCAAUCAUGGAGCAGGUUUGCCUUUUCAUGUUGAAUCUGCAAACAGACUGGGAAAAACAUCAUGUCACAUGUGCCUCAAGCUCUGGAAUGUGUAUGUUGGUUUUACCGACAGACAAAAAAUCUCCAACCUUCAGAAAUCAAGGACAUGAAGUUUAAAAUAUCAAAGCAUGGUAAAGCUUGAAGUAUCAAGACCACUUGUUGGGAAGGAUUAAAAGCAAACUAUGAUGUUAUGCCUCAGACAACUAGAAACACAUCUGAUGAGAACAUACAAAAGACCCUUUUAACCUCCCUGAAGGAUGCUUUU